AUAUCAAUAAGCGGAGGAAAAGAAACCAACAGGGAUUGCCUUAGUAACUGCGAGUGAAGCGGCAAAAGCUCAAAUUUGAAAUCUGGCGUCUUUGGCGUCCGAAGUGUAAUUUGGAGAGGCAUCUUCGGUGAUGGCGCUGUCCUAAGUUCCUUGGAACAGGAUGACAUAGAGGGUGAGAUCCCCGUGCCUGGGUGACUGUCCAUCUCCAUGUGAAGUGUCUUCGACGAGUCGAGUUGUUUGGGAAUGCAGCUCAAAAUGGGUGGUAAAUUUCAUCUAAAGCUAAAUAUUGGCGAGAGACCGAUAGCGCACAAGUAGAGUGAUCGAAAGAUGAAAAGCACUUUGAAAAGAGAGUUAAAAAGUACGUGAAAUUGUUGAAAGGGAAGCGCUUGAGACCAGACUCGAUUUGUGGUGAUCAGCUGUGCUUCUGUACAGUGCACUUGCCACAGAUUGGGCCAGCAUCGGUUCUGACGGUGGGAUAAAAGGGUGAGGAAUGUGGCUUCCUUCGGGGAGUGUUAUAGCUUCGCUCACAAUGCCACCAGUUGGGACCGAGGACCGCGCUUCGGCUAGGAUGCUGGCAUAAUGGUCUUAAGCGA
RNAcentral lists this ribosomal RNA (593 nucleotides) under uncultured fungus. RNAcentral describes it as "eukaryotic LSU rRNA". It matches the Rfam family "Eukaryotic large subunit ribosomal RNA", at positions 40 to 647 of the family's 3401-position model. Lineage: Eukaryota; Fungi. The record is from RNAcentral.